This 1740-nucleotide long non-coding RNA is filed under the name Mus musculus (house mouse). Its description in RNAcentral is "predicted gene, 16835". The record is from RNAcentral. Lineage: Eukaryota; Metazoa; Chordata; Mammalia; Rodentia; Muridae.
GGAGCCCCCGGGUGGACAUCGGCCCCUUGCCUACGCAGGGCCGCCGCGAGGAUUUUCGGAGGGUCCGCCGCCGGGUCUGGGGAACCCAGCCUUCCAUGCCAAUCUACCGCUAGCUGGAGCUGCCCCAGCCCCGCUGGUCAGGGACCCUGGGUGAGGGCCAGCUUUCCGGUUAGCAUCACCUGGGGGGAGCAGGAGCGAGAGUAGGCCUCAAAAAUGACGUAAAAAGGCGCAGGCGACUCCUGUGUGCACUGUUGGGAGAGCUGUGAUUUAUCUAUCUAUCAGUGGGCUUUCCCUGCUCUCUGGCUGGUUCUGAGGGCUGGACCUCGCUCCCCGCCACUGCCACCCCCACCCCCCAGGAUUCAGUGGUCUCCUGCUGCUAUCAGAAGUGGCAUCUCAGGCCUGCCACUUGCUUUUGGAGUUGGGUGCAGAAGUGUCCUGACUCUCAGCCCCUUGGAAGGCCCAGGUGAUUCCUGUGCCCCACAAGACUGAGAGGCGCUGCUUCAAGAGAUUACAGCUGAAUAGAAAAAGAAAAGUCGGAAAAUGAUAGCAGUGAAAUAGACCAUCUCUCCAGGGCUGUUUCUUUGCCUGAAGAUAAGAGGACACAAGUGGGUGACCUUCACAUUUUUUUCUCUAUGGAAUUGCCUGGUGUAGACAGAAAAACCCAACUGCAAAAACCUAACAAAGCACACUCACUGCCGAGUACAAUGAAUGUAAAAUUCAUGAUAGCAGUUUUCAUUAUAUGCGGAAGAAGUGAUUAAUGAGUUCUUUAUAAUAAGAAACGUGUUUCAUGGAAUAAAUCAUCUGGAAUUCUUAAGGUGCAGAGCGGGCGACAUUCAUUCACCUGAUGCCAUUCAUUUUAAUCCAGUGUGAAUACAUUCCCAGCUCUUAGCUAGAGGUGCAGAGCCCUAUUUGAAGAACCCACACGGUCUUCCCAAAGGUCAUCCUUUCCUCCGGGUCCCAGCUGUACUGGAGGAAAAUGGGAAUUCCAGCACACCCCAAGAAGGUUCAGCAUUUGGCUUUUGCUUAUCUCUGACUUAGCCAGUCUUGGAGAAUUGAGCAAUGAUGCCAGCUGGCGCACAGUUGAGCCUGCAUCAGCAUCGAUGCCAGUGGCACCACAGUGGGUCUCCGUCUUGCUAACGUGCCUCAUACAGGCGUUCAACGUGUGUGCCGACAAAGGAGAGCUGACAGUCAUCCUCCCAGACAGUCAGUGUGCUACCACAGUGACCAAAAGCAAAUCAAGAGAUUCCCAACUGCCAGUGAUAAGUAAAGAUGGCCAUGGAUUCCUGCUGGUGGAACCAAGAGAUCCUAACUGCCAGUGAUAAUAAGCGCUCAGUCAGUGCAUUACCACAGUGACCAAAAACAAACCAAGAGAUAUCAGUAAGGACGGCCAUGGCUUCCUGCCGGUGGUUUCGGAUGAAUGCUUUGGGCCAGAACACUUUGGGUUCUAAACACAAUCAAACACUAAACUCACUCUCUUGGAGAUGCUUAGGAAAGACAUGCAGCAGCUGCCAGCCCUGAUGUGAAGGAUAAGAGCUAUAACUGGAUACUUGGUUAAAACUUUAACUUCAUGUUCACAAAACUCCUACCUCCUAUUUAUAUGUCUGAAUGGAUUUUUCAUACCUCUGACAUUCAUGUGACCUUUUCCAAGACGAAUGGCCAGUACCCGUCUUGUCUUUGAACACACCUCUUCCUGUAAAUCUAACCACUAACAUAACUUCCAUAACAAAUUUACUUUUCUUU